AUCAAGAUUUCAAACCGAUAAUUCCCACUUCAAAAAUAAGAAGGUGGCAGAGAAACAAAGGUUAUAAAUAACAAAACAGUAGUCUUAUGUACGCAAUUUAGGAUCCAUACCUCAAGGGAGUGACAUGAGGAUCUAAGGGAUUUAGGAGCAACCAAAGAGAAGUUGAAAUAAAUUUCGACUUCAUGUAGAGCUCGACUAGACCUAGGAUCAACUCAUGAUUCCCGAACGAAUAAGGUCCUUAACUCAUCAUUUCAGAUCAUUCCAAAUAAAACAUACAUGUAACUAGUGAUCAUCUCAUCUUAAACAAUCAAUUUGACCAAAAAAAAAGCUCAUUCAAGUUGAGGAAAGCUCUACUCAAAGCAUCAUAAUUCAUCAAACCUUUAUACCAACAAAUUGAUUAAUUAUACCUCAAUACCGUCGACCACAAUGACAUCAAAUAAUGACAACAAAAUAGAGGAGGCAUCUGA
RNAcentral lists this unclassified non-coding RNA (467 nucleotides) under Hevea brasiliensis (rubber tree). The record is from RNAcentral. Lineage: Eukaryota; Viridiplantae; Streptophyta; Magnoliopsida; Malpighiales; Euphorbiaceae.